GCCAGGCGUGGUGGCGGGCGCCUGUAAUCCCAGCUACUCGGGAGGCUGAGGUGGGAGAAUUGCUUGAACCCAGGAGGUAGAGGCUGCAGUGAGCCAAGAUUGCACCACUACACUCCAGCCUGGGUGACAGAGCGAGACUCCGUCUCAA
Molecule: non-coding RNA, 148 nt
Filed under: Pan paniscus (pygmy chimpanzee)
Lineage: Eukaryota; Metazoa; Chordata; Mammalia; Primates; Hominidae
Also listed under: 1 other name
Source: Rfam by way of RNAcentral